This 406-nucleotide ribosomal RNA is filed under the name uncultured bacterium. Its description in RNAcentral is "partial 16S ribosomal RNA". It matches the Rfam family "Bacterial small subunit ribosomal RNA", at positions 30 to 526 of the family's 1533-position model. The record is from RNAcentral.
AUUGAACGCUGGCGGCAGGCUUAACACAUGCAAGUCGAACGAGGGGCGGACGGGUGAGUAAUGUCUGGGAAACUGCCUGAGGGAGGGGGAUAACUACUGGAAACGGUAGCUAAUACCGCAUACCAUCAGAUGUGCUCAGAUGGGAUUAGCUGGUUGGUGGGGUAACGGCUCACCAAGGCGACGAUCCCUAGCUGGUCUGAGAGGAUGACCAGCCACACUGGAACUGAGACACGGUCCAGACUCCUACGGUAUGGCGCAGUGUGGAAUAUUGCACAAUGGGGGCGAGCCUGAUGCAGCCGUGCCGCGUGUAUGAAGAAGGCCUUCGGGUUGUAAAGUACUUUCAGCGGGGAGGCGUUACCCGCAGAAGAAGCACCGGCUAACUCCGUGCCAGCAGCCGCGGUAAUUC